ACUCCUACGGGAGGCAGCAGUGGGGAAUAUUGCACAAUGGGCGCAAGCCUGAUGCAGCCAUGCCGCGUGUAUGAAGAAGGCCUUCGGGUUGUAAAGUACUUUCAGCAGUGAGGAAGGCAGGUACGUUAAUAGCGUGCUUGUUUGACGUUAGCUGCAGAAGAAGCACCGGCUAACUCCGUGCCAGCAGCCGCGGUAAUACGGAGGGUGCGAGCGUUAAUCGGAAUUACUGGGCGUAAAGCGCAUGCAGGUGGUUUGUUAAGUCAGAUGUGAAAGCCCGGGGCUUAACCUCGGAAUUGCAUUUGAAACUGGCAGGCUAGAGUCUUGUAGAGGGGGUAGGAAUUUCAGGUGUAGCGGUGAAAUGCGUAGAGAUCUGAAGGAAUACCAGUGGCGAAGGCGGCCCCCUGGAC
Molecule: ribosomal RNA, 407 nt
Filed under: uncultured bacterium
Lineage: Bacteria
Description: bacterial SSU rRNA
Rfam family: Bacterial small subunit ribosomal RNA
Source: RNAcentral